This 237-nucleotide long non-coding RNA is filed under the name Lathyrus oleraceus (garden pea). Its description in RNAcentral is "Pisum sativum (pea) long non-coding RNA (PSAT_LNC021984)". The record is from RNAcentral. Lineage: Eukaryota; Viridiplantae; Streptophyta; Magnoliopsida; Fabales; Fabaceae.
AGACUUCCGGUUCAGUGCCCCUAAAGCCAACAAACCGGAACUCUUUAGAGAAGUGUUCCGGUAUACAUUUCAUGAACCGGAAGACUUACUCUGAGUGUUCCGGUUUACAAUGCAAAAAAGUCAAAAAUUUCUCUUCUCCGGAACUCUUGAACGAAAAUGGUAAAAAAAACAUUGAAAUGGAAAAUAUACCCUAUUUAUAUGAGGGUAUUUUGAUAAAAAAAAAUUAGAUGUAGGGAU